AGCAGAGCAUCGAUCUCUGCAUCCUCCUCUCUUCUCUGUAGUCGCCAUUUGAUCACUGGCAAGAGAGGGAGCAUACAGCCAGCAUCACCAAUAAAAUCCAUUCCUCCUCUGUUGCCCACCCUCUGACAGGAUGCAUAAAUCCCAGGGUUAACUGAAAACUACAAAAGUCAUACUGCCGUGGCAACUCUAGUACAAGGCGGAGAUUGACUAUCCAACCCAGACCUACGCUUCCUACAUAUGGCAGGAAGGAGUCU
This 254-nucleotide long non-coding RNA is filed under the name Cricetulus griseus (Chinese hamster). Its description in RNAcentral is "lncRNA (ENSCGRG00000024727.1)". The record is from RNAcentral. Lineage: Eukaryota; Metazoa; Chordata; Mammalia; Rodentia; Cricetidae.